GUGCUGGAUUUUUUGUACUAAAUUUUUUGUGCUAUAUGUUUUUACUACAUUUUUUGUACUAGAUUUUUUUGUGCUAGAUUUUUUUGUACUAGAUUUUUUUGUUGUAUUUUUAAAAAACAAAAGGGGAGCCACAUAUCAUUUUCACUCCUAUUUAUAAGGACAAAAAUGCCCUUCAUUCAUACUUAUUAGGAGUGUCACAUGUUAUCAUCACAAUCCUUUUUAGGCUACUUAGGUAAAAAUCCACUUUUUAGUGGAUCCUUCCUCUAUAUACCAUCUUUCGAUCAGUUGUGAAUCGAAAUAAAUGCAACCACCAAUGUCUUUGUUACGAAAAUUGAAAGGUAAUGGAAUUAAAAUCAUAGCACCAUUUCCAUUCUAAGGGUAAAAUUGUCAUUGUAUAAUUUAAUUUUAAUAAAUUAAAUUAAAAUGGGUAAAUUUGUAAUUUUAUUAGUUAAUAUAGGGGAAAUAUGCAAUUUUAUUUUAAGCUUGGGUAAAUACGCAAUUUAAAAGUUUUUUAAGGAGAAAUAUGCAAAAACCUCUAAAAAAAUAUAAGAGUUCAAAUCCUGACAUGAGAUAUAGUAAUUAGUACUUAUUAGUGUAGUUUAGGAAUAGGAAAGGAAUAAUGAAACUUUUAAAAUAAACUAAAAGAUGUUAAAACAUUAUAUGAACUAGGUGAUGCUCCGCCCGCGUUGCGGGGCGAUAACCGAAUAAUUCUCACCCAAUUAAAAAAACAGUACUAUAGUUUUGCUAGAAAUAAAAAGUAAAAAGAGUGUUAAGCAGCUUUUUGACACAAUUUUUAGUUGGGGGAAAAGUCAUUUUUUUUUAUUUGAGGGAAAAAUCAAUUUUUUUCCCGAGGGUAAAAUCCUAAUUUUUUGCUAGGGAAAACCAUAUUUUUAUUUUGCAUUGGGGGCAAAAACGUAAAUUUGAAUUGAGGGUGAUAUCGUAAUUUUGAACCGAGGGGAAAUUCGUAAAUUUUAGCUGGGGGCAAAAGCAUAAAUUUAUUUUGAACUGUGGGCAAAUAUGUAAUUUUAAACUGUGGGCAAAACCAUAAUUUUAAAGUGGGUAAAAAAUAAUAAACUGGUGUAAAUUCAUAAUUUUGAGCCGAGGGGAAAACAAAAGUUUAUUUUGAACUAGGGUGAAAACGUAAUUUUGGCUGAGGGUAAAAGCGUAAUUUUUUUUUACCAAGGGAAAAAUCGUAUUUUAUAGCUCGGGGCAAAAGGGUAAACGUAUUUUGAAGUUGAGGAAAAACCGUAUUUUUUAAUUGGAGGCAAAAACGUAAUUUUAAAGUGGAUAUAAAAUAAUAAACUGGUUGGUCCAAUGGGUAUUGCUCGCCGUCGAUUUGAACCAAUGGCAGAGAAACACUAUUGCAGGGCAAAAGCGUAAUUUAAAGUGUGUAUAAAAUAAUAAACUGGUUGGUCCAAUGGGGAGGGGUGGCCGCCAAUUUGAAGCAAUGGCAGGGUGAUACUAUUCCCUGCCAUGAACCAAUGGCAGAGAAACACUAUUGCAGGGCGAAAACGUAAUUUUAAAGUGUGUAUAAAAUAAUAAAUUGGUUGGUACAAUGGGGGAGGGGCGGCCGCCCAUUUGAAGCAAUGGCAGGGUGAUACUAUUCCCUGCCAUGUGGUUUGUAUAUGUUGAAAAUAUAUGUAUAUGUAUCACAUUACUGUUACCGAGGGCGAAAUCGUAUUUUUUAGCUCGGGGCAAAAGGGUAAACGUAUUUUGAAGUUGAGACAAAACCGUAUUUUUUAAUUGGGGGCAAAAACGUAAUUUUAAAGUGGAUAUAAAAUAAUAAACUGGUUGGUCUAAUGGGUAUUGCUCGCCGCCGAUUUGAACCAAUGGCAGAGAAAUAUUAUUGCAGGGCGAAAGCGUAAUUUUAAAGUGUGUAUAAAAUAAUAAACUGGUUGGUCCAAUGGGGGAGGGGCGACCGCCCAUUUGAAGCAAUGGAAGUGUGAUACUAUUCCAUGCCAUGAAGGCAUGAACCAAUGGCAGAGAAACACUAUUGCAGGGCGAAAGCGUAACUUUAAAGUGUGUAUAAAAUAAUAAACUGGUUGGUCCAAUGGGGGAGGGGUGGCCGUCCAUUUGAGGCAAUGGCAGAGUGAUACUAUUCCCUACCAUGUGGUUUGUAUAUGUUGAAAAUAUAUGUAUAUGUAGAUUGAGGAUCCUCUACAUUAAUCCAGAAGUGAUCACUACCCUACAUAACAUUAGUGUUCAUUGACUUUAUUUUUAAUAUAUGUAUAAUAUAGUAUAUAUUAAUAUGAUAUGUUUAUUCAUAACUUAACAUUCUCUAUUAUCCAUAAGUUAACAUUCUUUUGAUAUCAUAUAGUGGAUCUUAAUUGUAGCUAAUUAUUAUUGGCGUGUGAAAUAAUUUGUCUAUGAGUCAAAUAUAUGACGGUAAUCCAUAAUAGAUGCAACUAUUAAAUAUUGCGAACACGUAUAUAUCUAUCUGUAUGCAUUAGGGUCUCAAUCUUCAUCCAUUUCCCCCUUUGCACCUAUACCAUAUGCAAGGUAUUAAUUUUGUAAACCAAAAGGAUUGUUUUGUGUUUG
This 2538-nucleotide long non-coding RNA is filed under the name Helianthus annuus (common sunflower). RNAcentral describes it as "hypothetical non coding rna". Lineage: Eukaryota; Viridiplantae; Streptophyta; Magnoliopsida; Asterales; Asteraceae. The record is from RNAcentral.